Molecule: ribosomal RNA, 480 nt
Filed under: Triticum aestivum (bread wheat)
Lineage: Eukaryota; Viridiplantae; Streptophyta; Magnoliopsida; Poales; Poaceae
Description: partial small subunit ribosomal RNA
Source: RNAcentral
AUGGGUAGGAAACGCAAAAUACCAAAAAAAAUAGUUGUACCUACUGCUCCAAUGGUUGAAGAACCACUCAAAAUCUAUCACACUGUUGAAGCUUAUUACUUUGAUCAUCUUCGAUCCCUAUGUGCUCGUGCUGAAAGCCCCACUAGUUUAGUUGAGGGCAAAUCUUUAGAUGAGCAUGCUUGUUAUGUGCGACACCGUAUAUCUGAAAAAGGGAAACUAUUAUGGGGUCAAAUUCAACGUUUGCAAUGCUAUGCUUGGAAUUUAUGCUAUUAUUAUGAUUUUACUUGUUGUUCUAAAAACCCUAAGAAACACCUUCCCUACCAAUGUGAGUUUAUUGAUAAUGGAAUCUUAUCCUCGUAUGCUAAGGGUGUUUAUAAUUACUAUGAUGUUCAACAAAUUGAAGAAUUUGUUGCUUUUAAGGGUGCUUACGAAAUUGCUUCUUUGAUUGAAAAGUAUGGUGCUACUCUUUACGAAUUUUAA